Molecule: ribosomal RNA, 490 nt
Filed under: uncultured bacterium
Lineage: Bacteria
Description: partial 16S ribosomal RNA
Rfam family: Bacterial small subunit ribosomal RNA
Source: RNAcentral
AUUGAACGCUGGCGGCAGGCCUAACACAUGCAAGUCGAACGGUAACAGGAAGCAGCUUGCUGCUUCGCUGACGAGUGGCGGACGGGUGAGUAAUGUCUGGGAAGCUGCCUGAUGGAGGGGGAUAACUACUGGAAACGGUAGCUAAUACCGCAUAAUGUCGCAAGACCAAAGAGGGGGACCUUCGGGCCUCUUGCCCUCGGAUGUGCCCAGAUGGGAUUAGCUUGUUGGUGGGGUAACGGCUCACCAAGGCGACGAUCCCUAGCUGGUCUGAGAGGAUGACCAGCCACACUGGAACUGAGACACGGUCCAGACUCCUACGGGAGGCAGCAGUGGGGAAUAUUGGACAAUGGGCGCAAGCCUGAUGCAGCCAUGCCGCGUGUAUGAAGAAGGCCUUCGGGUUGUAAAGUACUUUCAGCGGGGAGGAAGGGAGUAAAGUUAAUACCUUUGCUCAUUGACGUUACCCGCAGAAGAAGCACCGGCUAACUCCGUG